UCAAACCAUGGUUACUGGUUCGGGUAGGCGGUAAGAGGCUGGUGGUGAUUUGGUUAGCGAAAGGUAGUCGACCGAUCACACCAAUCCUCCGCUCUUCUCCCACCGAUCCUCUUCUCUCCCCGCAAACUAACCAGAAGAAGUAAUAAUCGACCCCUAAGAGAAAGGGAGAGAGAGAGUGUGUGUGUGUGUGUGUUCUCCAUCCAUCGAGGGACCCGCUUCGAUCUCGGCUCGAAGGUAAACCGCCGGCGGGAAGAUGGAGCCGGAGCGGGCGAAUCCCUCGCCGCUCGAACUCAUCUCGGCGAUCCUCACCGGAGGCGAGGGCGCGCCGCCGGAUGCGGAGCUGGCGGUGAUACUCGCCACCUCCAUCGCUGUGCUCCUUGGGUGCACCUUCAUCUUCCUCUGGCGGCGGUCGUCCGUGCAGAAGGCGAGCAAGCCGGCUGAGCCGCUGAAGCCCUUGUCGGUGAAGGUAGACCGUGAGCCGGAGGCCGACUACGGGAGGAAGAAGGUCACCAUCUUUUUCGGCACGCAAACCGGCACCGCAGAGGGUUUCGCUAAGGCCCUUGCGGAGGAGGCAAAAGCUCGAUACGAUAAAGCCACCUUUAAAGUCGUUGAUUUGGACGAUUAUGCAGCUGAUGAUGAUGAGUAUGAGGACAAGUUGAAGAAAGAGACUCUAUCUAGCUUUGUUCUUCUUGGCUACUUAUGGAGAUGGGGAGCCUACUGAUAAUGCUGCUCGGUUCUAUAAAUGGUUUACAGAGGGUAAGGAGCAUGGAAACUGGUUAGAGAAUCUUCAGUAUUCUGUGUUUGGUCUAGGCAACAGGCAGUAUGAGCAUUUCAAUAAGGUUGCGAAGGUGGUGGAUGAGAUCCUCGCUGAUCAGGGUGCGAAGCGCCUUCUCUCUGUGGGACUUGGAGAUGAUGAUCAAUGUAUCGAAGAUGACUUUAGUGCAUGGAGAGAGCUUCUAUGGCCAGAGUUAGAUCAGUUGCUUCGGGAUGAAGAUAAUGUUUCUGGUGCAUCUACUCCUUAUACAGCUGCUAUUCCUGAAUACAGAGUAGUUUUCAUAAACCGUGAAGAUGUGGCAAACUUAGAGAAGAGUUGGAGUCUUGCAAAUGGUCAUGCGGUGCAUGACAUGCAACAUCCAUGCAGAGCUAAUGUGGCUGUGCGUCGGGAGCUCCAUACCCCAGCUUCAGAUAGGUCCUGCAUCCACCUGGAGUUUGGCAUUGCUGGCACCGGUCUUGUGUAUGAAACCGGAGACCAUGUUGGUGUAUUUACAGAGAAUUGCACUGAUACAGUAGAAGAGGCAGAAAGACUGUUAGGUUAUUCAUCGGACACAUAUUUCUCAAUCCAUGUUGACAAAGAGGAUGGUACACCACUUAGUGGUGGUUCUUUGUCACCUCCUUUCUCAUCUCCAUGCACCUUAAGAACUGCACUUACCCGAUAUGCUGAUCUUCUAAAUUCACCCAAAAAGAGUGCAUUGCUUGCAUUAGCUAAGUAUGCAUCUGAUCCAAGUGAAGCAGAGCGACUUAGAUUUUUGGCUUCUCCUGCUGGAAAGGAUGAAUAUUCUCAAUGGAUUGUGGCUAGUCAGCGGAGCCUUCUUGAAGUAAUGUCUGUAUUCUCUUCAGCCAAGCCUCCACUAGGAGUUUUCUUUGCUGCAGUUGCACCCCGUCUCCAGCCAAGAUAUUAUUCAAUAUCAUCUUCUCCAAAGAUGGCACCAACUAGAAUCCAUGUGACCUGUGCUCUAGUAUAUGAAAAAACACCAACAGGAAGGAUUCACAAAGGGGUCUGUUCAACUUGGAUGAAGCAUUCUGUUCCACUUGAAGAGAGUCAAGAAUGUAGCUGGGCUCCUAUCUAUGUGAGACAGUCAAACUUUAGACUUCCCUCAGAUCCCUCUCUGCCAAUUAUCAUGAUUGGACCUGGGACAGGGUUGGCACCGUUCAGGGGGUUCUUGCAGGAAAGGUUGGCCUUGAUGGAGGCUGGAAUGCAACUUGGUCAUGCUACUCUUUUCUUUGGAUGCAGGAAUCGCAAAAUGGACUUCAUCUAUGAGGAUGAGCUGAAAAAUUUUGUUGGAACUGGGGCACUUUCUGAGCUGAUUCUUGCCUUCUCCCGGGAGGGUCCGACAAAGGAAUACGUGCAGCAUAAGAUGGCUGAAAAGGCAUCGGACAUUUGGAAUAUCAUCUCUCAAGGUGGUUAUAUAUAUGUAUGUGGUGAUUCUAAGGGUAUGGCUAGAGAUGUCCACAGAGCUCUUCAUACCAUCAUUCAGGGACAGGGUUCUCUUGAUAGCUCCAAGACUGAAAGCAUGGUGAAGGGUCUGCAAAUGGAUGGAAGGUAUUUGAGGGAUGUUUGGUGAGCUGCUGCAUGGUUCUCUUUUUUCUCCUGGAAGUGCUCUCAUGCAGGGACUCUCUUUUCAGAAACCUCUGCCACAGAUCAAGUAUAGCCUUUGGACAACACUUCAAUCAUCUAAUUCUUUUAACUAUCUAACAAGUUUUUUUUUUUUUUUUUUUGUUCAUGUAAUGUAUGCCCUUAUUUGUAUUAAUUAGUAGGCAAAUUUGUUCGGGAAAAGUCUAUAUAUACGUAGGAAGGGGCGGGGAAAUAGUGGAAGAACUCGGAACAUGAGAAUCAAAACCUAGGCUUGUUUCUUGAUACUUUCCAAUGCUGUAUGUAUGCUCUUUGCUUGUGAUACAUGUCAAUGGUUUUAUUAUGUUAAUCUUCUGUGUACGUUGAUUCUGUUUGUCA
Musa acuminata AAA Group (dessert banana) is the source of this 2728-nucleotide RNA transcript. It is a transcript of the gene named NADPH--cytochrome P450 reductase 3-like, with no coding region annotated. NCBI's taxonomy places the organism in Eukaryota, Viridiplantae, Streptophyta, Magnoliopsida, Zingiberales, Musaceae. The transcript is spliced from 18 exons. The record is from RefSeq and is a predicted model, not a curated record.